This 497-nucleotide ribosomal RNA is filed under the name uncultured bacterium. Its description in RNAcentral is "partial 16S ribosomal RNA". It matches the Rfam family "Bacterial small subunit ribosomal RNA", at positions 28 to 507 of the family's 1533-position model. The record is from RNAcentral.
GAUGAACGCUGGCGGCGUGCCUAAUACAUGCAAGUCGAGCGAACGGACGAGAAGCUUGCUUCUCUGAUGUUAGCGGCGGACGGGUGAGUAACACGUGGAUAACCUACCUAUAAGACUGGGAUAACUUCGGGAAACCGGAGCUAAUACCGGAUGAUAUUUUGAACCGCAUGGUUCAAAAGUGAAAGACGGUCUUGCUGUCACUUAUAGAUGGAUCCGCGCUGCAUUAGCUAGUUGGUAAGGUAACGGCUUACCAAGGCAACGAUGCAUAGCCGACCUGAGAGGGUGAUCGGCCACACUGGAACUGAGACACGGUCCAGACUCCUACGGGAGGCAGCAGUAGGGAAUCUUCCGCAAUGGGCGAAAGCCUGACGGAGCAACGCCGCGUGAGUGAUGAAGGUCUUCGGCUCGUAAAACUCUGUUAUUAGGGAAGAACAUAUGUGUAAGUAACUGUGCACAUCUUGACGGUACCUAAUCAGAAAGCCACGGCUAACUCCGUG